Molecule: ribosomal RNA, 545 nt
Filed under: Mammaliicoccus fleurettii
Lineage: Bacteria; Bacillati; Bacillota; Bacilli; Caryophanales; Staphylococcaceae
Description: bacterial SSU rRNA
Rfam family: Bacterial small subunit ribosomal RNA
Source: RNAcentral
UUAUGGAGAGUUUGAUCCUGGCUCAGGAUGAACGCUGGCGGCGUGCCUAAUACAUGCAAGUCGAGCGAACAGAUGAGAAGCUUGCUUCUCUGAUGUUAGCGGCGGACGGGUGAGUAACACGUGGGUAACCUACCUAUAAGACUGGGAUAACUCCGGGAAACCGGGGCUAAUACCUGAUAAUAUUUUGAACCGCAUGGUUCGAUAGUGAAAGGCGGCUUCGGCUGUCACUUAUAGAUGGACCCGCGCCGUAUUAGCUAGUUGGUAAGGUAAUGGCUUACCAAGGCGACGAUACGUAGCCGACCUGAGAGGGUGAUCGGCCACACUGGAACUGAGACACGGUCCAGACUCCUACGGGAGGCAGCAGUAGGGAAUCUUCCGCAAUGGGCGAAAGCCUGACGGAGCAACGCCGCGUGAGUGAUGAAGGUUUUCGGAUCGUAAAACUCUGUUGUUAGGGAAGAACAAAUUUGUUAGUAACUGAACAAGUCUUGACGGUACCUAACCAGAAAGCCACGGCUAACUACGUGCCAGCAGCCGCGGUAAUACGU